Long non-coding RNA from Bolinopsis microptera, 1256 nucleotides. RefSeq lists it as uncharacterized. NCBI's taxonomy places the organism in Eukaryota, Metazoa, Ctenophora, Tentaculata, Lobata, Bolinopsidae. The transcript is spliced from 2 exons. The record is from RefSeq and is a predicted model, not a curated record.
AUUGUGAUAUCGGCCGCUCUUCUUCAUUGUUCUUCAGUGUGAUUUGCAUUCAUAGCUGGCAUAAUUUCGGCAGAUGCUCUCAUUUGAUAGUUUGAUGUCGUUUUUUGCAAAAUUGCGAAUCCCCACUUCGUAGCCAACAAAAAGAUUUUUACAUUUGAAACAACAGUAUUGUGCAAUCAAUUUAAAAUACAUUUUGUGUUUCAGAGUUGCAGCUCAGCACUUAUAUUCUCCUUUAUGGACAAGGACGUUGGUAUUUUAUUGAAAUAGUACAGCUACAGCUAAGUUCAAAUCGACAGUAAAAAUAAUCCAUUUAUUUUGUGUGUUGCAAUCUAUUCAAUUACGUUCAAAGCUGAUACUUUGACACACUUUUCUCAUUACGUACGUGUGAACAUCAAGAAUAUAGUUAUUAAACCAGUGCUAUUUAAUUUUAAAGGAGUAACAGAAGACGAUAACAAAGAGAAGCCGCAGAAUGCAGAUCGGAAAGCUGUACGACCUCACUAAGUACGGAACUGAUUUGAUGGAUCAGAGGAUAGGUCGAUACAGUACCAAGGUGAAAUCCAACAAGUGGAAACACUGCAUGUGGUAUUACAUUCUGGACACCACAAGGGUGAACAUCCACACUGUCGUCCAACUAAGCAAUCCAUCAGAGUGGACUCAUUCAGGUGGAAUAAGUGCUAUCUCUCAUGAAGCCUUGGCUAAUAGAAAAGCCCAUCAUUGGACUGUUAGAGCACAUGUCCUGACAGCAGCAUUCAACAUAACGGGGAAUCCUAAAUUUCGGAGGACAGCUGAAGUCCCAAACAGCAUGAUUAGUUUCCCCAAGAAAGUUGAAAGCAAGAAGCAGUGUCGUGACUGCCUCUCGAACUGUAAGGGGAAAGACUAUAAAAAACAGCAAAAAGGUUUCAGCUGUUUAUAGCAUGUGUGAACUGUGUGGUGAUAGGAUUUGCCAUAAACAUCACAUGGUGCAGAAUGUGCAUCUCCUCUUGCUUUAUGAAACUUGCUAAUGAAUCACAAUCCUGGUUGUGCAAACUGUUUAAAAUCUUCAACCCGUGAAUUAGGGUCUUUUGAAUUUAUCCAUGUUUAACAAUCAAGUUUUCUUUGCAAAAACUGACAGAAAUGGGCUACAAUUAUUACAAAAAUUCGGCAAAUAAAUCCAUGUAUCGACACAACCAGGGUUGCGAAAUAUGUUUAUUAGUUUAUUAUUUAUUUUAUCAUUGAGAUUCUUUGAAAUUAUGAUCGCUUGCUUUUGUAGCAUAUAA